This 1004-nucleotide long non-coding RNA is filed under the name Oryzias sinensis (Chinese medaka). RNAcentral's name for it is "lncRNA (ENSOSIG00000007557.1)". The record is from RNAcentral. Lineage: Eukaryota; Metazoa; Chordata; Actinopteri; Beloniformes; Adrianichthyidae.
GUCCAGUUUUAUUGUAUGUCUGUGUCCAUAUUAAAGUCAGUCACAACCUUUUUAGAUUCUUUAAAAUUUAACAUUUUGGAGCAAAGCUGUUAGAUCUAGCUUUCUUAUCAGCAAAAAAAAUUUUGAAGCAAAACUCCAUAUUGAGUUUGGAAUAUAAGAUUGGAUGACACUUUACUUUGUUCUUUUUAAAGCUAUUUUUUUUAAUCAUUAGAUACACAACACAGAUGAGAAUAUGUUGCCUUACUGGCUAACUUGAAAGAGAUCUGUCUAGUUUAAAGCAUAUCACCAAAAAUGUUUUUAUUAAAUAAAGACCUGUUUUGUGAACACAAGUAUUUCAUUCUUCAUGAGCUUAUCUAUGGAAGCGAUUGUGUAGCAUAAAUAAAAAUAAAAGUGCUUUUUUUAUUUUCAAAAUGAAGCUGCAUUUUUUGACUCAAAAUUAAAAUGAAAAAGCAAUCCACCAAAAUGCUUUUUCAUUUCCUUCCUUAACACAGCUUUUUCUGUCACUUAAUUAAAAUUAAAAUUAAAAUGGUAUUUGACAUUUCAUUUUCAAAAAGUUAUUGUUAGGUACCAGGAGGGGCCAGGGCGGCCGUUAUUGUGUUUGAUUCACUUCCUGUUUUCCGGUUCUGGUCACUAGUUACACUCGUUGUCUUUACCUCAUUGAUUGUUUUUACCUGUUUACACACCUGUUUCCACUUUAGUCACUGUAUAUAUUCUUUGUCCACCCAGUCAUUGUCACAGGAUCGUUUCGUUUGUUUGUACUCUCACGAGAAUAGUCGAUUAAAUUCGAGUUAUACGUAUCCGCUGGCGUAUGAGGGGCCGUAUAAGACAUUAUUUAUUCUGAACCAUUCACAUUCAUACAUUCUUGCUCUCACAUUCAUAUGUACUCUCUUUCGCAUACAUAUACUCUUUUACGCAUACAUAUAUUCUCACUUGCACAUCCAUAUAUUCUCACUUGCACUUACAUGUAUUCUCACUUGCCCAUCCAUAUAUUCUCUAUCUCGCAU